This 422-nucleotide ribosomal RNA is filed under the name uncultured archaeon. RNAcentral's name for it is "partial 16S ribosomal RNA". It matches the Rfam family "Archaeal small subunit ribosomal RNA", at positions 323 to 746 of the family's 1478-position model. The record is from RNAcentral.
CUACGGGAGGCACCAGGCGAGAAAACUUUGCAAUGUGCGAAAGCACGACAAGGUUAAUCCGAGUGGUUUCUGCUAAAGGAACCUUUUGACAGUCCUAGAAACACUGUUGAAUAAGGGGUGGGCAAGUUCUGGUGUCAGCCGCCGCGGUAAAACCAGCACCUCAAGUGGUCAGGAUGAUUAUUGGGCCUAAAGCAUCCGUAGCCGGCUCUGUAAGUUUUCGGUUAAAUCUGUACGCUCAACGUACAGGCUGCCGGGAAUACUGCAGAGCUAGGGAGUGGGAGAGGUAGACGGUACUCGGUAGGAAGGGGUAAAAUCCUUUGAUCUAUUGAAGACCACCUGUGGCGAAGGCGGUCUACCAGAACACGUCCGACGGUGAGGGAUGAAAGCUGGGGGAGCAAACCGGAUUAGAUACCCGCGUAGUC